This 252-nucleotide ribosomal RNA is filed under the name uncultured bacterium. RNAcentral's name for it is "partial 16S ribosomal RNA". It matches the Rfam family "Bacterial small subunit ribosomal RNA", at positions 524 to 776 of the family's 1533-position model. The record is from RNAcentral.
UACGAAGGGUGCAAGCGUUACUCGGAAUUACUGGGCGUAAAGCGUGCGUAGGUGGUGAGUUAAGUCUGUCGUGAAAGCCCCGGGCUCAACCUGGAAUGGCGAUGGAUACUGGCUCGCUAGAGUGCGGUAGAGGGUGGUGGAAUUCCCGGUGUAGCAGUGAAAUGCGUAGAGAUCGGGAGGAACAUCAGUUGCGAAGGCGGCCACCUGGACCAGCACUGACACUGGGGCACGAAAGCGUGGGGAGCAAACAGG